RNAcentral lists this unclassified non-coding RNA (380 nucleotides) under uncultured bacterium. Its description in RNAcentral is "contains 16S-23S intergenic spacer region". The record is from RNAcentral.
UCCGGUUUGACACCGGCAGUCUCCCUAGAGUUCCCGGCAUAACCCGCUGGUAACUAGGGACGAGGGUUGCGCUCGUUGCGGGACUUAACCCAACAUCUCACGACACGAGCUGACGACAGCCAUGCAGCACCUGUGCACGAGUCCCGAAGGAAAGCAGGUGUUUCCACCCGCCGUCCCGUGCAUGUCAAGCCCAGGUAAGGUUCUUCGCGUUGCUUCGAAUUAAACCACACGCUCCACCGCUUGUGCGGGUCCCCGUCAAUUCCUUUGAGUUUUAGCCUUGCGGCCGUACUCCCCAGGCAGCGCACUUAAUGCGUUAGCUGCGGCACCGGAGGGGUCGAUACCCCCGACACCUAGUGCGCACCGUUUACGGCGUGGACUAC